This is a long non-coding RNA of Neofelis nebulosa (Clouded leopard), 945 nucleotides long. RefSeq lists it as uncharacterized. The record is from RefSeq and is a predicted model, not a curated record. Lineage: Eukaryota; Metazoa; Chordata; Mammalia; Carnivora; Felidae. The transcript has 3 exons.
CCGAUCCAAUACGAGUGGUGUCCUCAUAAGAAGAGAUUAAGACACAGAUAAUAUGCAGAGGGAAGGCCAUGUGAGGGUACAGGAAGGUGGCCGUCUUGCAAGCCCAGGAGAGAGACCCCAGGAGACCCCAGCCCUGGUGACUCCCUGCUCUCAGACUUCCAACUUCUAGAACUGUGAGAAAAUUAAGGUCUGUUGUUAUAGCUAUCCACCCUGUGGGACUCUUACCACAGACCUGGCAAACCGACCUACGUCUCAACCACCCUGGGACGUAUGGAUGAUUACCUACGUUUUCCAGAAGAAGACACUGAGGUUCAGAGAGGGGCAAUGACAUCUUAGGGGUUACACAGCCCCCUCAAGCAACUAUCGUUUUUGCCUGAGUGUCAAGGGAAGGUGACGAGGUCGAUAUUUAGCACAUCGUAGGAGCUCCAUAAAAGGGAGGGCCUCCCUCGUGACAGAGCGGGGACACGCACGUUGCCGCCAUGAUUCCUGCACCUCAUGAGGAGUUUAAGGUGGGGACACAGUACUCUGACCCUAAGACUCAUUUCUCCUGCCCUCUGAAGAUCCAGGCCAAGAGAACCGCAUAUGCAAGAAAGAGAGCCAGGAUCUGUGCAGCCGGGUGAAACUCUGGAGGGAGAGGUGAACUCAAUGCGUCCGGCACUCAGGUCAGGCCGGAGGCUGGGGGUUUGUGAGUCAUCGGCCCACAGUGGUAGCAGCCAGCGUUUAUGGAACACCCUUCUUUGACGUGGUGGUAACGGGCAGGCCCUUGGCAUGCACCGGCUCCUUCAAUCUGCAAAACACCCGUGAGCGUGGUAUGGUCAUUACCCCAUUUCGCAGAUGAGAAGACCAUGAUGCGGAGAAGUUUUGUGUGUUUUUUUUUAAUUUUUUAAGUGCUUAUUUAUUUAUGAAGGAGAGAGAGACAGAGCAUGAGCGGGGGAGGCGCAGAGA